UACAGAGGGGGCGAGCGUUGUUCGGAAUUACUGGGCGUAAAGGGCGCGUAGGCGGCCUUCUAAGUCGAACGUGAAAUCCCCGGGCUCAACCCGGGAACUGCGUCCGAUACUGGGAGGCUUGAAUCCGGGAGAGGGAUGUGGAAUUUCCUGUGUAGCGGUGAAAUGCGUAGAUAUAGGAAGGAACACCAGUGGCGAAGGCGACCACCUGGACUGAUACUGACACUGAGGUGCGAAAGCGUGGGGAGCGAACAGG
This 253-nucleotide ribosomal RNA is filed under the name uncultured bacterium. Its description in RNAcentral is "partial 16S ribosomal RNA". It matches the Rfam family "Bacterial small subunit ribosomal RNA", at positions 524 to 776 of the family's 1533-position model. The record is from RNAcentral.